AGUAGAAUGGCUGAGUAAUAGGUGAUAGAUUGUAAAUCUAUGUAGGGGAUAAAGUCCCUUCUGCUA
Molecule: transfer RNA, 66 nt
Filed under: Polyphaga plancyi
Lineage: Eukaryota; Metazoa; Arthropoda; Insecta; Blattodea; Corydiidae
Description: tRNA-Tyr
Rfam family: tRNA
About the family: Transfer RNA (tRNA) molecules are approximately 80 nucleotides in length. Their secondary structure includes four short double-helical elements and three loops (D, anti-codon, and T loops).
Source: RNAcentral